Molecule: transfer RNA, 85 nt
Filed under: Flavobacteriales bacterium
Lineage: Bacteria; Pseudomonadati; Bacteroidota; Flavobacteriia; Flavobacteriales
Also listed under: 1 other name
Description: tRNA-Ser
Rfam family: tRNA
About the family: Transfer RNA (tRNA) molecules are approximately 80 nucleotides in length. Their secondary structure includes four short double-helical elements and three loops (D, anti-codon, and T loops). Further hydrogen bonds mediate the characteristic L-shaped molecular structure. tRNAs have two regions of fundamental functional importance: the anti-codon, which is responsible for specific mRNA codon recognition, and the 3' end, to which the tRNAs corresponding amino acid is attached (by aminoacyl-tRNA synthetases). tRNAs cope with the degeneracy of the genetic code in two manners: having more than one tRNA (with a specific anti-codon) for a particular amino acid; and 'wobble' base-pairing, i.e. permitting non-standard base-pairing at the 3rd anti-codon position.
Source: RNAcentral
GGAGGGAUGGCCGAGUGGUUUAUGGCGCACGCUUGGAAAGCGUGUUUACGGCAACGUAUCCAGGGUUCGAAUCCCUGUCUCUCCG